Molecule: ribosomal RNA, 468 nt
Filed under: uncultured bacterium
Lineage: Bacteria
Description: partial 16S ribosomal RNA
Rfam family: Bacterial small subunit ribosomal RNA
Source: RNAcentral
GACGAACGCUGGCGGCGUGCUUAACACAUGCAAGUCGAACGGCAAGGCCCUGCUUUUGUGGGGUGCUCGAGUGGCGAACGGGUGCGUAACACGUGAGUAACCUGCCCUUGACUUUGGGAUAACUUCAGGAAACUGGGGCUAAUACCGGAUAGGAGCUCCUGCUGCAUGGUGGGGGUUGGAAAGUUUCGGCGGUUGGGGAUGGACUCGCGGCUUAUCAGCUUGUUGGUGGGGUAGUGGCUUACCCAGGCUUUGACGGGUAGCCGGCCUGAGAGGGUGACCGGCCACAAUGGUACUGAGAGACGGCCCAGACGCCUACGGGAGGCAGCAGUGGGGAAUAUUGCACAAUGGGCGGAAGCCUGAUGCAGCAACGCCGCGUGCGGGAUGACGGCCUUCUGGUUGUAAACCGCUUUCGCCUGUGACGAAGCGUGAGUGACGGUAAUGGGUAAAGAAGCACCGGCUAACUACGUG